GUAGGUGAAAGACUUACAUCUCUUCGGAGCAGUUUUACGAGGUGCUGCAUGGUUGUCGUCAGCUCGUGCCGUGAGGUGUCGGGUUAAGUCCCAUAACGAGCGCAACCCUACCUUUAGUUGCCAUCAGGUAAUGCUGGGGACUCUAAAGGAACUGCCUACGCAAGUAGUGAGGAAGCGGGGAUGACGUCAAAUCAGCACGGCCCUUACGUCCAGGGCUACACACGUGCUACAAUGGCCGAUACAGAGGGCAGCUACCUGGUGACAGGAUGCAAAUCUCCAAAGUCGGUCUCAGUUCGGAUCGGAGUCUGCAACCCGACUCCGUGAAGUUGGAUUCGCUAGUAAUCGCGCAUCAGCCAUGGCGCGGUGAAUACGUUCCCGGGCCUU
Molecule: ribosomal RNA, 384 nt
Filed under: uncultured Sphingobacteriales bacterium
Lineage: Bacteria; Pseudomonadati; Bacteroidota; Sphingobacteriia; Sphingobacteriales
Description: bacterial SSU rRNA
Rfam family: Bacterial small subunit ribosomal RNA
Source: RNAcentral